GCAACCCCGAUCCGCCCCAUGUCGCGGAUCACCAGGGCCUCCAGGAACUCGAGGCCGCCGGCGAGCGUGUUGCCCUCGAGGUAGAGCUGCUAGAGAUGACUUUGCCGUCAGCUCCUCGUCCCCAUCGCCCCCUCCGUCCGCCGCCGAGGGCGACAUCGACACCACCGACAGAGGGCGUGUAGCUCCUCGGGUUCAGGGAGCGGCUGCCGGCGGAGCACCAGGUGGGGGCAACGGCGGUGGUGUUGGGGCCUGGGCGGCUUCGUCGGAGAUGGGGAGGAGGGAGGACUGGAUCGGGAGGGGGCGGGGACGGGGAGGAGGUGGCGGCGGCGAGGAGAUGGGGAGGAGGGAGGGGUCUGAGAUAGGGUUUGGCUGUGGGUGGGGUUUUCUUU
This 389-nucleotide long non-coding RNA is filed under the name Hordeum vulgare. Its description in RNAcentral is "long non-coding RNA (HVUL_LNC002753)". The record is from RNAcentral. Lineage: Eukaryota; Viridiplantae; Streptophyta; Magnoliopsida; Poales; Poaceae.